This 460-nucleotide ribosomal RNA is filed under the name uncultured bacterium. RNAcentral's name for it is "partial 16S ribosomal RNA". It matches the Rfam family "Bacterial small subunit ribosomal RNA", at positions 338 to 795 of the family's 1533-position model. The record is from RNAcentral.
CCUACGGGUGGCUGCAGUGAGGAAUAUUGGUCAAUGGACGAGAGUCUGAACCAGCCAAGUAGCGUGAAGGAUGACUGCCCUAUGGGUUGUAAACUUCUUUUAUCUGGGAAUAAAAUGUUCCACGUGUGGGAUUUUGUAUGUCCCAUAUGAUUAAGGAUCGGCUAACUCCGUGCCAGCAGCCGCGGUAAUACGGAGGUUCCGAGCGUUAUCCGAAUUUAUUGGGUUUAAAGGGCGCGUAGGUGGAUUGUUAAGUCCGUUGUGAAAGUUUGCGCCUAAACCGUAAAAUUGCAGUUGAAACUGGCAGUCUUGAGUACAGUAGAGGUGGGAGGAAUUCGUGGUGUAGCGGUGAAAUGCUUAGAUAUCACGAAGAACUCCGAUUGCGAAGGCAGCUCACUGGACUGCAACUGACACUGAGGCUCGAAAGUGUGGGUAUCAAACAGGAUUAGAUACCCUUGUAGUC